Molecule: ribosomal RNA, 301 nt
Filed under: uncultured bacterium
Lineage: Bacteria
Description: partial 16S ribosomal RNA
Rfam family: Bacterial small subunit ribosomal RNA
Source: RNAcentral
CAGCAGCCACGGUAACACGAAGGGUGCAAGCGUUACUCGGAAUUACUGGGCGUAAAGCGUGUGUAGGUGGUUGUUUAAGUCUGUCGUGAAAGCCCUGGGCUCAACCUGGGAAUUGCGAUGGAUACUGGGCGACUAGAGUGCAGUAGAGGAUAGUGGAAUUUCCGGUGUAGCAGUGAAAUGCGUAGAGAUCGGAAGGAACAUCUGUGGCGAAGGCGACUAUCUGGGCCAACACUGACACUGAGACACGAAAGCGUGGGGAGCAAACAGGAUUAGAUACCCCUGUAGUCCCUGUCUCUUAUAC